Equus caballus (horse) is the source of this 3858-nucleotide long non-coding RNA. The record is from Ensembl. NCBI's taxonomy places the organism in Eukaryota, Metazoa, Chordata, Mammalia, Perissodactyla, Equidae.
GUGAUAAAUUGCUACAGGGUGUCCCGCUGUGUGGCUAAAACAGAGGGUCACCCUUGGGUGUAAGGCAUUGUUCACCUCCCCACUUGACUGAGUUUUUCUUCUAUUUUUUUUAUUGAGAUCUCGAACUAUGUUUUGAUUAGAAGACAAACCUUAACCUUUUUCUGUGGAAACGCAAAUCUGCAAAGGUGCAAGGCUCAGAACAAAAUUGUUCAAAAUAUUAUCUGGACAUUCUGUAUUUCCCGGGAGGCUAACAUUCGGAACGUGGGACAGAAUUGAGAACUCUGUGACUCAGAGCUGGAGUCCUGAGGGCUGAUGUCACACAGCCUGCGUCCUGCUGAGUCUGAGGGGCCCGGCGGGGGCUUGUCCAUUCUCGAGCUCUGGCCGAAGACGGCGCUUCUGAGAGUCAGGUCUCCAAACCUGCACGCCAGCUCUCCCUAAGAGGACAGCAAGCUCCCUCUCCGGGGUCAGAGGGGUGAGGAAUGUGUUAUUGAAGGGUCUUGUUCCCUAAAAUUAUUAUUAUUUUUUUUUUACCGUAUUGUGCCAUUGGCCUCAGGCAGCUCAGGACGGCUGGACUCGAAGCGUGCUCACCGUUUGGACUGUGUGCGUUUCUCUCGGAGCAAUCUUCUCCCCUGUUAUUGCUAAGCCUCUGAGAGGACUGGCUUCUCAAGGCUCAGAGAGUUUGAUUAACCCAAUUGCUUAUUCCAGGUGGGCGCUUGGCGUCAAGAUGAUUAAGAUGAUUGAUUUAGAGACUAUGAUUGCCAUUGGCGGCGGCUUACUGAUCGCGGCCUUUCUGGGGAUGUGCUGUGUCAUCUGUCUUUACUGCAAAGUGGCCAACACAUUGAAGUGAAUGACGAAAAUAUGACAGCCAGCGGCAUCGACACAAAAGGCAGGCGCCUCGGUUUGGAAGAAGGCCGUCCUGGGACAGCCACCUCCUCGCCCUCCGCUGCCAGGCACCUAAGGACAAGCUUCCGAGAGCCGCGCGGUGCCGAGUGUCGUCAAAAGAGGGGUGUUCUCGGGCCCCUGAGGGCAGGAGCGGUGCUAGCUCUGAUCCCAGGCACGAGAGAGGGCCUGGAGCUCAUCAGGUGUCGGGCAGUGACUCCAAUCACAGCUUCGCAGUGCGGGCACCCUCUCCACCAGGUGGACCUCGGAACGCACAGCAGUAACCUUGUGAACAAUGCUGAACAAUGUUAUUUUGCUUAUUGAUAGGAAUGUGUUGCACAGUGCUUAUUAAUCACACACACUAAGCUCUUGCUCCUGCUCCAGGGUGUUGUAGAAGCACUUUCCUGAGUUGCAGUGGAAACAUCCAGGAGGCAACAGUUCAAACCUAUCAGCAGGUGGGGAAACUGAAGCUCAGAGGGCAGGAGUGACUCUCCUGGUGUCCGGCAGCAAGUCAGUGAUAGGGAGCCUGGGGCCUGGCUCUGAGCGUUUUACUUACAACCCCUCCUGCUUGGUGCCAUGCCCCAUCCGCUUCCGGAGCUUCCUGACCCCCCUGGACGGUUAACUUGCUCCCUAACCCCAGCAAAGAAGUCCAGGCGCCAACCAUUCUGGAAGGGCUGGUGGCCGUCCUUGCCCUAUUGAUACCUGCAUGGGGGCACGUGCAUGGUGACGCUGCAGGAGUGUGGGGGUGAUGGGAGCUAGGGGCUGCGUAGCACAGAGGGGAAGAGGGGGCAGCUGAUGGUUCAGAAGCAGUGAGGUAGUGUUGUGGUAUCAUCUGGGUUACAAAGGGCUUGUUUCAGUCUGAAUGGAAAAUUCUGUGAUUCACACUCACCAGGCCUGUCACCAGGUUAGUUAUGAGACUGAGUGCCCAGCCUGCGACUAACAUCAGGAUCAGAGGUGUUCGUUAUCCUUUUCCCCCAGCCUCUGCCCAAACACCCCAAAUCCUACAAAAACUGCAUCUCUGUUGGCAGAAAGUAGCCCAGCUCCCUGACCACGUGAGCCUCUGAGCCACCCAUGACCAGCCGGGUUCCAUCUCUGUGCCCGGCAGACAGCCUCUUCCUCCGAGUCUAGUCUGCCUCCGGACCGCCAGGUGCUGGAGCUCCAGAUGAAGGCCUGGGGCCCUGGGGGACCCCACUACGUGGAGGGUCGGUCUGACACUCCUGUGUGAACACCCGUGUCUACAGCUCCUGCAACUGAGUCAGCCCGUCUAGAUCUGACUCCUGACUAACCUGUGAGUGGCAUUUAAUUCUAAGGCUAAUUUUCCUUGCAAAACGGACCCGCCUGGUAGGGCUGUUUUGAGGAUUCAAUGAGAUGUUAAAGAGAAUCGUUUGUCACUAAACAUUAAUCCAGAGAGAGGAUAAAAGAUAUGACUUUCUCCUCUUAGUAAGGACUGGGCAUAUCUUGUAAGCAGGACAGAUCUUACCAACAAGACUGAAAGAACAAUUGCCAGGGCAAAUACAUUUCUGCAGCUUUUAUAGUUUUUAUCAGUAUUUUUUGAAAAUAAGAAUUCUGCUGCUAAGGACAUGAAAGUCUUUUUGUUUCAGUUGCUUUUGAAACAUUUCACAAUUAUACAAAUCAUAAAUCUAUAGAUGAUAUGAAGAUUCAGUUUAAAAUUGCACUGUUGAUAAGAUUCAGUAGUAAGUAUAUAAGGAGCUUAUAGUGUCCAAAAAUUUUUCUUAAGGAAGUAUUUUAUUCAAACCUUGAAAAAGUUUAUCUUGUUGAUGUUUAGUUUACCAAUUCAACUUGAUUAUUUUAUUACUUAGGAUUACAUUUGAUUGUAACAGAAAACCUCAAAAUAAUGGUGGCUUAAACAGGAUAGAAGUUGAUAUUCUCUUGCAUUUAAGAAGUCCAGAGUUGGGCUAGUUUAGUGCCCUACAAUCUUGUUCUACUAAGCUUCCUUUCCCAAGGUCAUGUCGGGGCCCAAAAGGGCUGCUGGAGCUGUACUCUUGUAUCUGCAUUCCAGGAAACAAGGAGGAAGGGACCAAAGGUGCCUAUUUCACUUCUGUUUACCUCCCCUGGACCACAGCUUAAUCACAUGGCCAUGCCUACCUGCAAGGAAGCUGGAGAAGGUAGUUCUUAUUCCAGCCGGCCCUGUACCCACCUCAAUGUCGAGGGUCUUUGUUCCAGGGUAACAGAUAUUGAGGCCAACUAGCCAACCUUACCUUGGACAUCUUUCUCCCUUAGAAUUUUUAGUAAAAUGGUUUCUUGUUUUUCUGAAAACCCACAACACAAUGUUUUUAUUUUGUUACCUUCCAUUCACAUCUAAUGUAAUACUUGGCAUGGGCUAUUAUUUUAACCCACUGAGUUACCUACACGUAACUGAGUUAAAGCCCCUGAAACUUGGAACAGCGCCUGAGAAAGUGUCCCGUAACCAUGAGCCUCGGCUAAAGGUCCAGAGGAAACCCCUUCACGGCUCAGCGCUGACCCACCGGCCCGCGGCCCAGCCUCUGGUUUGGCUCUUAGAUUCCUGCAUGACACUUUGCUCCCUCCCUUUGCAAAGACUUUCCUUCACCAGCUCUCCCCAGCACGGGAGCUGGUUGGGGUGGGUGCACAGGAGCCCAUGUGAAGAGGGGACGGAGGCCCCAGGAUUUGGCAGGCCUUCUGCACACCUCUGUUGAAUGUCUUCUCCCAACUCUGUCCUCUCCCACCCCACAUUCUGUCCCUUCCGAUCCUCAGGAAGGACACAGGGAGGUUGGUCAUCAGCCCCCGGCUGGGCCGUCACUCCACCUAGAACUUGGGGCAUCUUAUCAGGGUGUCGUGUGGGACUCCUGCCUCGUCCCCUGCUCCCCACUGCUACACUGGACCUGGGAGACAGCCUGCACAUCCACAACCCAAAAGCUAAACUUCCCCAAGCUGGACCUGCCCCCGGUGGGCUCCUCCUUAUGCGGGCUUUCCAUUCACUCUCUUCCAGCCACAGACCAC